GAGACAGCAGUCGCCGCGGGAAUACGAAGGGUGCAAGCGUUACUCGGAAUUACUGGGCGUAAAGCGUGCGUAGGUGGUGGUUUAAGUCCGUUGUGAAAGCCCUGGGCUCAACCUGGGAAUUGCAGUGGAUACUGGGUCACUAGAGUGUGGUAGAGGAUAGUGGAAUUUCCGGUGUAGCAGUGAAAUGCGUAGAGAUCGGAAGGAACAUCUGUGGCGAAGGCGACUAUCUGGGCCAACACUGACACUGAGGCACGAAAGCGUGGGGAGCAAACAGGAUUAGAUACCCCAGUAGUCCCUGUCUCUUAUAC
Molecule: ribosomal RNA, 308 nt
Filed under: uncultured bacterium
Lineage: Bacteria
Description: partial 16S ribosomal RNA
Rfam family: Bacterial small subunit ribosomal RNA
Source: RNAcentral